ACCUAUUUUAAUCUUGAGUGUCGAAGCAAUCAAACUUGGGAGAGCCUUUACUUGUUGAAAUGUAAACUUGUGAUAGUGAGAUCAAUCCAAACUACGAGAGGGUGAAGACUACAGCUGUGUAAAGUCCUAAUCUUAAAACACAACCCCGAGAAAAUUGAGUGAAAAUAAUAAGUUUGGGGGGAUUGUGUACCUCUCAAGCGAGUAAGGAUACAUUUGACCACUUGGGGUCGGACUCAACCCAUCAUGAAUUUGAUAUGUUGGCAUGAAUUUACACACAUACGUCAAAUAUGCAUUUAACAGGGAAAGGUUGAUGUCAUUUUUGCACUGAUAAAUUUUCAUAAAGUCAAAUACUUAGCCCAAUCCUGAGCCACAACAAGGUAUUAAGCCAUGUUUGUUCAGAAUUAAAUCACUAUGUUGUUUGAAGACAAACAAUAGUUCAAGUUUGGGGGGUUUGAUAAGUGCGUUUUUGCACACUUAUUUUGAUCACAAACAUGC
RNAcentral lists this long non-coding RNA (495 nucleotides) under Olea europaea subsp. europaea. The record is from RNAcentral. Lineage: Eukaryota; Viridiplantae; Streptophyta; Magnoliopsida; Lamiales; Oleaceae.